This 214-nucleotide ribosomal RNA is filed under the name uncultured bacterium. Its description in RNAcentral is "partial 16S ribosomal RNA". It matches the Rfam family "Bacterial small subunit ribosomal RNA", at positions 1288 to 1500 of the family's 1533-position model. The record is from RNAcentral.
CCAGUUCGGAUUGCAGCCUGCAACUCGGCUGCAUGAAGCUGGAAUCGCUAGUAAUCGCGGAUCAGAAUGCCGCGGUGAAUACGUUCCCGGGUCUUGUACACACCGCCCGUCACACCAUGGGAGUCGGAAAUGCCCGAAGCCGGUGGCCUAACCGAUAAGGGAGGAGCCGUCGAAGGCAGGUCUGAUGACUGGGGUGAAGUCGUAACAAGGUACC